GCUCUCCCAGUCUCCCUCACUCCGCAUCUCAUCUCCAGGUCCGGCUCUCCCUCACUCGGCAGCUCAUCUCCAGUCACCGGCUCUCCCUCACUCCGCAGCUCAUCUCCAGAUUUGUGUUGGUUAGUGUGGACUGAGGCUGCUUGUGGUUUUGGGAUUCCAAUUAAAUCCAUUCU
This is a long non-coding RNA of Quercus lobata, 173 nucleotides long. RefSeq lists it as uncharacterized. The transcript has 3 exons. The record is from RefSeq and is a predicted model, not a curated record. NCBI's taxonomy places the organism in Eukaryota, Viridiplantae, Streptophyta, Magnoliopsida, Fagales, Fagaceae.